This is a non-coding RNA of Nicotiana tabacum (common tobacco), 805 nucleotides long. The record is from RefSeq and is a predicted model, not a curated record. NCBI's taxonomy places the organism in Eukaryota, Viridiplantae, Streptophyta, Magnoliopsida, Solanales, Solanaceae.
AGAAUAACCGAAAAAUUGGUAUGGUACAAAUUUUAUAAAAUAACCGGCUGAACCGAAUCAUUGACACCCUAGUCUAUACCUUCCCAGUUUUUUAGUUAAGUUCACAUGUUCAUAGUUCUUGACUUCUUGGUGAAGGGUGAAGUUCUACUUUGUGCAUUGUAUUUUUGGUUGUCAUGUGAUAACUAAAUAUGAAUAGCUAAUAUGUGACUGAAUUUCUAAUUUGUGUUUUGCCAGUUUGGUAGUCUUGUGAUUGAAUAAUUUUGAAUAACUAAGUUAUGAGAUAAGUAAGUCGAUGUUUAUGUCUUAAAUUUUAAAAUUUCUAUUUUCACUUUGUUAAGUUAUCUUUUAUUUUUCACAUUUACUUUACAAGUUACAUUCCUUAUUUCAAGAGUAAUGUCAUUCUUGUUCUUGGAUAAAAGGCUAGUUUUCUUUCACUUUAUGUCUAAUUAUUUUAAUUAUAUUUCUUCUACUUUAAUGUCCUUUAAAUAUUUAGUUUGCUACUUUAUUGUGUAAAUUGUAGAAGAAUGAAAGAAAUAUUGCCCAUCUUGGAGAAUGUCUAGAACUCUAACUGCUACUUGCUAUGUCUAUGGUUUGAGAAAUUCUGAGAAUGAAAGAUUUGAUUAUUGGUUGCCCUCUACAACCUACUUAUUUUAUUGCAGAGGCUAAAAACUUGGAGAAAACUGGCAAAAACUUUAACAACAACUGCAUGGUUAAGGUUCCCCAUGUCUUUUGGGAUUUAACGACAAAGCAGGUUCUGACGAUGCAGUUUUGCAGAGGUCAUAAGGUAUAGCCUUCAGCCUGCUUC